CCUACGGGUGGCAGCAGUGAGGAAUAUUGGUCAAUGGGCGCGAGCCUGAACCAGCCAAGUAGCGUGAAGGAUGACUGCCCUACGGGUUGUAAACUUCUGGUAUAAAGGAAUAAAGUGAGGCACGUGUGCCUUUUUGUAUGUACUUUAUGAAUAAGGAUCGGCUAACUCGGUGCUAGCAGCCGCGGUAAUACGGAGGAUCCGAGCGUUAUCCGGAUUUAUUGGGUUUAAAGGGAGCGUAGAUGGGGUGUUAUGUCAGUUGUGAAAGUUUGCGGCGCAACCGUAAAAUUGCAAUUGAUACUGGCAGCCUUGAGUACAGUUGAGGUAGGCGGAAUUCGUGGUGUAGCGGUGAAAUGCUUCGAUAUCACGAAGAACUCCGAUUGCGAAGGCAGCUUACUAAACUUCCACUGACAUUGAUGCUCGAAAGUGUGGGUAUCAAACAGGAUUAGAUACCCCUGUAGUC
RNAcentral lists this ribosomal RNA (460 nucleotides) under uncultured bacterium. RNAcentral describes it as "partial 16S ribosomal RNA". It matches the Rfam family "Bacterial small subunit ribosomal RNA", at positions 338 to 795 of the family's 1533-position model. The record is from RNAcentral.